AUGAAGAACGCAGCGAAAUGCGAUACGUAAUGUGAAUUGCAGAAUUCAGUGAAUCAUCGAAUCUUUGAACGCAUAUUGCGCUCUCUGGUAUUCCGGAGAGCAUGCUUGUUUGAGUAUCAGUAAACACCUCAACUCCCUUUUCUUUUUUGAAAUUGGAGCUGGACUUGAGUGAUCCCAACGCUUUCUUCCAAGAAAGUGGCGGGUUGCUUGAAAUGCAGGUGCAGCUGAACUUUUCUCUGAGCUAUAAGCAUAUCUAUUUAGUCUGCCUAAAAAACAGAUUAUUACCUUUGCUGCAGCUAACAUAAAGGAGACUAGUUCUUGUGCUGACUGAUGCAGGAUUCACAGAGACAGCUUCGGCUGACUUUGUAAACUCGAUCUCAAAUCAAGUAAGACUACCCGCUGAACUUAAGCAUAUCAAUAAGCGGAGGA
This 429-nucleotide unclassified non-coding RNA is filed under the name soil metagenome. Its description in RNAcentral is "partial contains 5.8S ribosomal RNA, internal transcribed spacer 2, and large subunit ribosomal RNA". The stretch from base 1 to 119 matches the Rfam family "5.8S ribosomal RNA", at positions 36 to 154 of the family's 154-position model. The record is from RNAcentral.